UCGUAACAAGGUUUCCGUAGGUGAACCUGCGGAAGGAUCAUUACCGAGUGAGGACCUAACCGGUCCAACCUCCCACCCGUGUCUAUCGUACCUUGUUGCUUCGGCGGGCCCGCCAUUCGUGGCCGCCGGGGGGCAUCUCGCCCCCGGGCCCGCGCCCGCCGGAGACACCAACACGAACACUGUCUGAAGGUUGCAGUCUGAGUCGAUUUAUUUAAUCGUUAAAACUUUCAACAACGGAUCUCUUGGUUCCGGCAUCGAUGAAGAACGCAGCGAAAUGCGAUAAUUAAUGUGAAUUGCAGAAUUCAGUGAAUCAUCGAGUCUUUGAACGCACAUUGCGCCCCCUGGUAUUCCGGGGGGCAUGCCUGUCCGAGCGUCAUUGCUGCCCUCAAGCACGGCUUGUGUGUUGGGUCGCCGUCCCCUUCCCGGGGGACGGGCCCGAAAGGCAGCGGCGGCACCGCGUCCGGUCCUCGAGCGUAUGGGGCUUUGUCACCCGCUCUGUAGGCCCGGCCGGCGCCUGCCGACCACCAACCUUUUUUUUACCAGGUUGACCUCGGAUCAGGUAGGGAUACCCGCUGAACUUAAGCAUAUCAAUAA
RNAcentral lists this unclassified non-coding RNA (594 nucleotides) under Aspergillus wentii. RNAcentral describes it as "sequence contains 18S rRNA gene, ITS1, 5.8S rRNA gene, ITS2, 28S rRNA gene". The stretch from base 223 to 376 matches the Rfam family "5.8S ribosomal RNA". The record is from RNAcentral. Lineage: Eukaryota; Fungi; Ascomycota; Eurotiomycetes; Eurotiales; Aspergillaceae.